RNAcentral lists this small nuclear RNA (300 nucleotides) under Chinchilla lanigera (long-tailed chinchilla). RNAcentral's name for it is "7SK RNA (ENSCLAG00000022171.1)". It matches the Rfam family "7SK RNA". From Rfam's summary of the family: 7SK was discovered as an abundant small nuclear RNA in the mid-70s but a possible function has only recently been suggested. Two independent studies have found that 7SK RNA binds the CDK9/cyclin T complex (known as elongation factor P-TEFb). P-TEFb activates transcription by phosphorylating the C-terminal domain of RNA polymerase II. The record is from Rfam by way of RNAcentral. Lineage: Eukaryota; Metazoa; Chordata; Mammalia; Rodentia; Chinchillidae.
GGAUAUGAGAGAGCGAUCUGGCUGGGACAUCUGUUAACCCACUGAUCACUCAGGUUGAUUUGGUGGACUAGGCUGGUGUCCCCUUCCUUUUUCACUGCUCCAUUUAUGUCCCUCCCAAAACCGUGUGGUACAUAGAAGAGGACGACCACCCCAGAUAGAGGAAGACCAUUUCCUUGGUCAAAGGUAUACAAAUUGCUACACUCCCCUGCUAGAAGCUCCAAACAAGUUCUCAAGAAAUGAGAGACUGAAAUGGAAUGCCAUUAAACAAUAACAUGUCAAAAAUAUGAUACUAAUAAAUUU